This 450-nucleotide ribosomal RNA is filed under the name uncultured Glomeromycotina. Its description in RNAcentral is "SSU rRNA". It matches the Rfam family "Eukaryotic small subunit ribosomal RNA", at positions 569 to 1023 of the family's 1831-position model. Lineage: Eukaryota; Fungi; Glomeromycota. The record is from RNAcentral.
AGCAGCCGCGGUAAUUCCAGCUCCAAUAGCGUAUAUUAAAGUUGUUGCAGUUAAAAAGCUCGUAGUUGAAUUUCGGGAUCAAUAUAUCGGUCGUGCCAUUGGUACGUACUGGUAUCAUUGGUUUCUCCUUUCUGACGAACCAUGAUGUCAUUAAUUUGGUGUUAUGGGAAGUUAGGACUGUUACUUUGAAAAAUUAGAGUGUUUAAAGCAGGCUUUAGCUUGAAUACAUUAGCAUGGAAUAAUGAAAUAGGACGUUCGAACCUAUUUUGUGGUUUCUAGGAUCAACGUAAUGAUUAAUAGGGAUAGUUGGGGGCAUUAGUAUUCAAUUGUCAGAGGUGAAAUUCUUGGAUUUAUUGAAGACUAACUACUGCGAAAAGCAUUUGCCAAGGAUGUUUUCAUUAAUACAAGAACGAAAGUUAGGGGAUCGAAGACGAUCAGAUACCGUCGUAG